UACAACGCACUACCUGUUCAUAGUAGUCGGUGCUGUCAACAGCACACUGCUCACCAUCAACGCAGGGGACUACAUCUUCUACACAGACUGGGCGUGGACGUCCUUCGUUGUGUUCUCGGUGUUGCCGUCGACGUUGUUUACUGUAUGCGCAAUACACUAUUCGUUAUUCAACUGUGUUCCAGGCACCGCAAACUUACACGCAACAUACUUGGCCAUAUACACAUGAGUGGCAUCGGUCGAAGGGUUUGCACUUGUAUUCUCCUACUACUUCGUUGGGCGACAAGAGGCAACCCGCACGCUCCCAUGCUUGUUUGCCGUAAGAUGGUUGGCCUGUCCUUCCCUCUGUUAAUCAUGGUCAACCUGUUGCUUGUAAGGGACCCGCUCGAGGUGGCCUUAAAGUAUCCGAGACCGCCUCUGCCCGCGUACAUGACGCCUAUAGAGCCACAGGUAGGGAAGUUCUACAACUCGCCUGUCGCCCUGGGUUCAGGUGCCGGUGCAGUGCUCACGGUACCCAUCGCUUCGUUAGGUGCAAAACUAAACACGUGG
This 546-nucleotide ribosomal RNA is filed under the name uncultured Nitrososphaerota archaeon. RNAcentral's name for it is "uncultured thaumarchaeote partial 16S ribosomal RNA". Lineage: Archaea; Thermoproteati; Nitrososphaerota. The record is from RNAcentral.